RNAcentral lists this ribosomal RNA (253 nucleotides) under uncultured bacterium. RNAcentral describes it as "partial 16S ribosomal RNA". It matches the Rfam family "Archaeal small subunit ribosomal RNA", at positions 474 to 727 of the family's 1478-position model. The record is from RNAcentral.
UACCAGCACCCCGAGUGGUCGGGACGAUUAUUGGGCCUAAAGCAUCCGUAGCCGGUUUUACAAGUCCUCCGUUAAAUCCAGCUGCUUAACAGAUGGGCUGCGGAGGAUACUAUAAGACUAGGAGGCAGGAGAGGCAAGCGGUACUCAGUGGGUAGGGGUAAAAUCCGUUGAUCCAUUGAAGACCACCAGUGGCGAAGGCGGUUUGCCAGAAUGCGCUCGACGGUGAGGGAUGAAAGCUGGGGGAGCAAACCGG